GUGAACCUGCGGAAGGAUUCAUUA
This 24-nucleotide ribosomal RNA is filed under the name Liriomyza huidobrensis (pea leafminer). Its description in RNAcentral is "partial 18S ribosomal RNA". The record is from RNAcentral. Lineage: Eukaryota; Metazoa; Arthropoda; Insecta; Diptera; Agromyzidae.